AUCAGCAGCCAUAUCACCCUGCAAUUCACAACUGGCAGCCCACUGAAGCUAAGCAGGUGUGAGCCUGGUCAGUACCUUGAUGGAAGAGACCUCCUGGGAAAAACUAAGGUUGCUGCUGGAA
RNAcentral lists this ribosomal RNA (121 nucleotides) under Lepisosteus oculatus (spotted gar). The record is from RNAcentral. Lineage: Eukaryota; Metazoa; Chordata; Actinopteri; Semionotiformes; Lepisosteidae.